AGCGAACGCUGGCGGCAGGCUUAACACAUGCAAGUCGAGCGGGCACUUUCGGGUGUCAGCGGCGGACGGGUGAGUAACGCGUGGGAAUGUGCCCUCUGGUUCGGAAUAACUCAGGGAAACUUGAGCUAAUACCGGAUACGCCCUUUUGGGGAAAGGCUUGCUGCCGGAGGAUCGGCCCGCGUCUGAUUAGCUAGUUGGUGAGGUAACGGCUCACCAAGGCGACGAUCAGUAGCUGGUCUGAGAGGAUGAUCAGCCACACUGGGACUGAGACACGGCCCAGACUCCUACGGGAGGCAGCAGUGGGGAAUAUUGGACAAUGGGCGCAAGCCUGAUCCAGCCAUGCCGCGUGAGUGAUCAAGGCCUUAGGGUUGUAAAGCUCUUUUAUCCGGGACGAUAAUGACGGUACCGGAGGAAUAAGCCCCGGCUAACUUCGUG
RNAcentral lists this ribosomal RNA (435 nucleotides) under uncultured bacterium. RNAcentral's name for it is "partial 16S ribosomal RNA". It matches the Rfam family "Bacterial small subunit ribosomal RNA", at positions 29 to 507 of the family's 1533-position model. The record is from RNAcentral.